GACGAACGCUGGCGGCGUGCUUAACACAUGCAAGUCGAACGGAAAGGCCCUGCUUUUGUGGGGUGCUCGAGUGGCGAACGGGUGAGUAACACGUGAGUAACCUGCCCUUGACUUUGGGAUAACUUCAGGAAACGGGGGCUAAUACCGGAUAGCAGCUCCUGCUGCAUGGUGGGGGUUGGAAAGUUUCGGCGGUUGGGGAUGGACUCGCGGCUUAUCAGCUUGUUGGUGGGGUAGUGGCUUACCAAGGCUUUGACGGGUAGCCGGCCUGAGAGGGUGACCGGCCACAUUGGGACUGAGAUACGGCCCAGACUCAUACGGGAGGCAGCAGUGGGGAAUAUUGCACAAUGGGCGGAGGCCGGAUGCAGCAACGUCGCGUGGGAGAUGACGGCCUUCGGGUUGUAACCCGCUUUCGCCUGUGACGAAGCGUGAGUGACGGUAAUGGGUAAAGAAGCACCGGCUAACUACGUG
Molecule: ribosomal RNA, 468 nt
Filed under: uncultured bacterium
Lineage: Bacteria
Description: partial 16S ribosomal RNA
Rfam family: Bacterial small subunit ribosomal RNA
Source: RNAcentral